GCCCCGGUAGCUCAGCAGGAUAGAGCAGCCGCCUCCUAAGCGGCAGGUCAGAGGUUCGAAUCCUCUUCGGGGCG
Molecule: transfer RNA, 74 nt
Filed under: Gammaproteobacteria bacterium
Lineage: Bacteria; Pseudomonadati; Pseudomonadota; Gammaproteobacteria
Description: tRNA-Arg
Rfam family: tRNA
About the family: Transfer RNA (tRNA) molecules are approximately 80 nucleotides in length. Their secondary structure includes four short double-helical elements and three loops (D, anti-codon, and T loops).
Source: RNAcentral